Molecule: RNA transcript, 6578 nt
Organism: Columba livia (rock pigeon)
Lineage: Eukaryota; Metazoa; Chordata; Aves; Columbiformes; Columbidae
Exons: 3
Source: RefSeq, a predicted model, not a curated record
CUGUGGGGAGGAGAAAUGUCUCCCUGUCCGUUGCAGAGAAAACAGAACAAUCCCACAUCAAAGCUGUCCUAGAGAAGUACUUGCUGUUUGUCAUUCCGGUUCUAGAGCAGCCCCAUGUGCUGUUAAAGGUUGUGGUGGUGCGGGUCAGGGAUCCCCAGGCUGUGCCGAGACCGCAGGACGGCUGCUGGUGGAACAAAGUCAAGGACAACUUCUCAGAGACAGGCGAUCCGGAGGGAAAGAAGGACAGAGAGAAGAGAGUUGGAAAAACUGGCAAUGUUUUACUAAUGCUAUAUUAAGAGUAGAGAAAAUAAUACAAAACCAAUCCUGAAAGUCUCAGCAACUGCAGAGCCGGCACCUGAAGUCCUGGACUGGACUCUGCAGCCAACCGGAGCUGGAUUCAGUCUCUCAGCAGGCCUCAGUUUGCAGGGACGACUAGCAAGGUCCUCUCCUAAUGUCACCAUAAGCAGAAGGGACGAAAAGGGGCAAAGAGGACAAGAUCCUCAUGAUCUCCCACUUCUAUAUGAAGUAUUCAUGUGAAGGGGAUGUUAUACACGGUUGGUCAGUUUGUUGGUCACCUGUUUCUUGUUGCUCCUCUUGCAAGAUGUGAAUCUGUCCUUAUCAACAAGUAAGCAUUCCAUUGCAAUGUUUACCAAAACAUGUAUGUAUCUGGUUCUCCAGGAAAAUGCAGCUAAUAUGAAGCUUUAGCUGACAGGCAAAUUCACUGAAAGAGAAACUUGUUUUUUAAUGAAACCAGGACAGCCCCCUCCCCAAUCCCCUCAGGACUCCUCUGAUUCCCAUCUGCUCCUCUCAGGACAGCUGAGCUUGUCUUUUGGGGCCCCUGAGAGCCCCCAUUUACCUUCUUUUACCUACCUUUGUUGUUGUUCCCAGCCUAUCCUGGUGUUUUCCAUCCUUCAGGACUUACUUAUUACUGUUGUGAGAGUCCGAGAGAAAAGGAAGAGUGUCUGUGACUUACAACUGUCGUUGUUGAUCUACAGUGUUUUAGAGACGGAUUCUUGCAGGAUCUAUUUCUGGUUCGUCCUUCACUCCUCCCCAGACCGCAGCGCUGGUCCGAGUUCCCCAGCACACGUGUGUGUGUCCAGCCGGGUACGCUGGGGGAGCGCGUCAGGGCGGGCAGACGGCUGAAUGGACGCGCUGUCAGCGACUGCGGAACGAGCUGGGGCUGCUUUGACCGUGUCCAGCCUUGUGCGUGUGGUUUGUUUUCACUUGCAGGCUGAAACAGCAGUUUCCUUAAUUAAAAACACCCCAGCAUGUCCCCCGGCCCCCAACAAAAAUAACGCCAAAAAUGCCACUGAAAGAAACACAGGGAGUUUUUAAAAAAUUUCCUUUAGCUUUCUCCCCCCUCCACCCCUACCCUGCUGCGUUCAGUGCAGUGAAUGACCGUGAGGAGAUGGCUGUGGAUCUGGCUGUUGAAGGGUGUGUGAAGGAGAAGGAGGUGUGUGUAGAGCAGGAUUGGUGGUGGAGGUGAGUGCAGCUGGUUUGGGUGUGGGGCUGUAAAUUCUUUUUGGAGGCUUCCUAGUUUCUGGUGUCACCUGCGGGGUGAAGUGUGACUCUGUGCAGGUUUGAAAGGUGCCACGUGCAGAGCUCCCUCAUUUGCCACCAGAUCUCCCAAUCACAGAGACAGCGUCGCUGUGCAGCUGCUAAGGACAGCGCGUCUCGUGCAGAACAGCAUCCUUUGUGCUCCGUGUGCGUGUUCCUCCUUUGAAAUGAAGUUGGGCCGCCCGGUGUUCCACGUUACGUGUGGUACCUGCUGGGCUGAGUCUCCUCCCCGCGCUCCGGUCGGUUCCGUCGCGCUGCCGCAGCCCCGGCAGCACCGCGGCGUUCGCUGGACGCGUUGUUGGCGGAGCCGGCACCGACAAUCUUGACACGUCGAGGCGCUGCGGUGGGUUUGCCUGGAAAUUCCAAGGUAAUUCCAAGGCAGACAGUAAUAAUCCCCAAUUUAUGUAGUAAAAUUUAAAAGAGUGGAAUAUAAAUACUGGAGCACUAAUUGGAAGUAAUACCUGUAGAGAAAAAAACCUCUAGUUUAUAUCUACAAUAAAAAAUAAUGUGUGCUAGUAAAUCCGCCUGGUAGUAAUGUAAUGAUAAAAAUGUUAAAGUGUAAAUAGAUGAAAUUAUAUAGGCAUGAGCAAGAAGUAAAUUUAAUUUCAGCUAUUACUUGGUGAACUAGGCAGCAGUUGUUCCCAAUCUGAAUGCUAGUUUAAAAAACACAUUGUUUGGAAUUCCUUUUAAAUGAUAAAGGCAGAAAACUAAUGUGGAGUCAUUGGUAGCUUCAUUUGAACAACCGUUAUGAAAUAAACCGCAGACACGAAUGACUGCAUAGGAAACAAAGUGAGGAAGCUUUAGAUUUUAAACAGCAUUGGAAAGUGAUCGGGAGUGUUUAGUAUUUAAAUUAUAACAGAGCCAUGAGAUGGGAGGCAACAAAGCUCAGAACCAAACAGAGUCAAAACGUUACAUUUCUUUUUUUAAAGAGAAGUAUAAAGGAACCACGAAGUAGUGGCUGUUUAUAAACAGGGGUAUUAAAAAGUUCCCAGGCAGUAAUGAUUCCCAACAGAACACUAAAAGAUAUUUAGAUGUAAAAUAAUAUUAGAAAACAGUUAUGACAGUCUGAAUUUAACCACAGCUUUUUUGGGGUUGUGCAAAAACAUGACCGCUAUUAAUUACCUCUGAGUUAAAAUAAAAAGACAUCAAACUAGAUGUGAUUAACAACAGCUAAUUUUAAUUUUUCAGUGUGCUAUCCAGUCCGGCUUCUCCCUCCAAGGGCGUGGUCUGAGAAAGCCACACCCCCAACUCCACCCCGUCCAAGCUCCGCCCCUGCCAGUCUGUGCCCUCCCCGAGGCGCGUGUCCCUUACAGACCCCUCCCAGCAGCAUAAUGCAUCGAAGCCCCGCCCGCGGCUCCACCCCUAAACUCAGCCCCUGCUAAACCACGCCCCCUCAGAGCACGUGCUGUGCAGAGCCCACUCUACUCUCGGCUCCACCCCUCCCUUCCUAAGCUACGCCCUCUUUGGGCGUGUCGUUCUCCCUACCCCAAGCGGCUCCUCCUAUGGGGGUGUGACACACGGAGGCCCCACCCCCUGCCCAGUUGCCCCAGGUGGGCCUCCCAAUGGGUGUGUCCUCCCAGUCCCCGCCCCUCAGCACGGAUCCCACCCCCGUGGGUGGGGCUACACCCAGCUGCGCGCGCGGCCCCCCCACCCAUGCGUGACCCUAAGUAACCCCAUGGCAGCCCUAUGGCUGCCCCACAGGUACCGCUACAGCAGCCCUGCUCCUGCCCCGCAAGAGCUCCAGACACGCCUCUGCAGAGCCCCCACAGCAGCCACUUCAGUGCCCCACAGCUAUCACCGCAGCCGCCCCAUCCCGCCCCACGGCCGCCGCUGCGGAACCCCUGGAGCCCCCGGCCCCACACCCGCCCCGCAGCCCCACAGCGCGCGGUCUCGCGGCCGCGGUGCCGGUGAAGCCACGUGCCGGCCGCGGCCGGAGGAGCCGCCGGUUUUCCCCCCCCCACACCCCGAUCGCUGCUGCCGCGGCCGGAGGAGCCGCCGGUUUCCCCCCCACACACCCCCCGAUCGCUGCUGCUGCGGCCGGAGGAGCCGCCGGUUUUCCCCCCCCACACCCCGAUCGCUGCUGCCGCGGCCGGAGGAGCCGCCGGUUUCCCCCCCCCACAUCCCCCGAUCGCUGCUGCUGCCGCGGCCCGAGGAGCCGCCGGUUUUCCGCCCAGCCCCGACUCUCCUCCUUCCUCCUCAAUCGCCGCUGCAUGCCGACACGAUGCCUUCUCUUCCGCCAUCUUGUUUCCCCCUUCUCCUCUCAUUCGCUAUUUUAUACCGAGGGAGGGAGGAGGCGCUCGCUGAUUGGCUGACAGUGUCAGACUCGGAAGUCGUCCAUUGGCUCAUCCCCACGAGGGGUUCUCCGAGGGGGUGGGAGAAAGGCGCUGAUUGGUCACCGUGUCGCUGAGGGGAGGAAGGCACUGAUUGGUCACUUUCCGCCGAAGUUCGCCCUCCCAGUAACAGGCGCUGAUUCGCUAGCGCCCCUGAGGUAGAAAAGGCGCUCAUUGGUCGGCGUUUUCUCGCCGACGUUAGCCCACAGCAACGAAGCGCUGAUUGGGCAGCGCGGCUGACGGGGCGGAUCGUCCAUUGGAAGGAGGGCGGGCGGGGGGCGGGACCGGGCGGGACAACGAGGUAAUAAAUGGGGCGGCGCAGAACGCGCGCAGGACCAGAAAGGCGGAGGCGGCAGCGGCAGCGCGAGCUCAUCGGCCCCCCCCCCCCCCCCCCCCCCCCCCCCGCCCGCCGCGGGAAACCGGAGAACGGCAGGAACGGCGGCCGGAAUCAGUUAACGGGGCGGGUCAGGGCGGUAAUUAUCGUGCGGGUGUUAAUUGGGGCUCGGCGGGUUAAUGAGUGACCGGCGGGCUGGGGUGUAUCUGGGGGUUUUGAUCGGAACUGGGGUUUUAAAGCCGCGGGUUUGGGGGGGGGCGGGGGCGAUUAAGGCUCCCGAAGCCGCUUUAGCGGCUUAAAUCGUUGUGUUGAACGCGGGAGGAGCCGGUUCGGGGCUUUUCUCAGCAAGCGGGGCUGGUUUGGGUCUAAUUCGGCUUUUAAAAGAUGUUUUUACGUAAUUUUUGGGUGCCGAUUUGUGCCAGAAGGCGCCUUUGAAAUCUGUUUAUUGAGGGUUUAUCAGGAGAAUUAAAGUUUAAAGCUCGGGGAGAUUUGGGGCUUUUCCCCGGGAUUUUGAGUCCAAAUCGGUUUUUUUAGAGCCCUUAUUUAUUUAAAUUGUUAUGUUUAAAGGGUUUAUUUGAGGUUUUAUUUGGAACAUUUUGGGCGGGUCUGACGCUCCUAAGAUUUAAUUGUUGGUUUAUUAUUUGAUUUAUUAUUUCACUGCGGUUCGGGGCUCCUGAAGACGCUGAGUUGUUUCAAUUAUUUAGCGCUGUGAGGAGCCGUUUUGGGGCCGUUGGGGUCUAAAUCGGCUUUUUGAAAGGUUUAUUUAACGCGUUUAAAGUUUGAGGGGCCGAUUUGCGACUUUAAAGCUUUUUGAAUCUACUUAUUGAUAAGAAUUUAUACAAUAGAUUAAUAUUUAAAGCCCGGGGGGAGAUUUGGGGCUGUUUCCCAGGAUUGCGAGUCCAAAUGCGUUUUUUUCUGUUAACCGCUUAUUAAUUUACAUUAUUAUAUUUAAACGGGGCUUUUUGAGGUUUUAUGAGGGUUUUUUUGAGCAUUUUGGGCGGUUCUGAGGCUCCUAAAGCCGCUUAAUUGUUUAAAUUAUUAAUUGUUAAAAUAAUGUAAGUAGUUGUUGAAAUAAGUGUGUAAGUUAUUGUAUUUAAAGCCGGGAGGGGCAUUUCGUUGCUUUUUGGGGGGUUUUAGGGCUGAAUUCACUUCAUUGAACGUGUCUAGAGCUGGGGGUCCCAGAUCUGGUGCUGAUUUGGCCCCAAAAAAAGCUUUAAAAAUCUAUUUCUUUAUAUAAUUUACUGAAUUAAUAUUUAAGCGGGAACAUGUUCGGCUUUUUUAACCCGCCGCCAUUUUGUCUCCCCCGUCCCGCUCUCCCUCACGCUGAGGGGGCCGAGGAGACGCUCGCUGAUUGGCCGGUGCCGUCUGGCGGGAAAGCCUCCCCCGGCUCAGCCCCGCUCGGCUGUCUCCGAGGGAGAGAAAGGCGCUGAUUGGUCGCUGCCUCUGAGGAGAGAAAGGCGCUGAUUGGUCGCCGCCUCCCUAAACCCACCUCCUGCGCAGAGAACAGCGAAGGCAGCCUGGCCACGCCCCCUCCGGCUGACCACGCCCCCCGCUCCGGCUGACCGCGCGUGCCCCCCCCCCCCCCCCCCCCCCGCAACUCGGCUGACCGCGUGCCCCCCCCAACUCCGGCUGACUGUGCCCCCCUGCCCCCCGGCUGAUCCCGUGCCCCCCCCACUGCACUCCUGCUGACUGUGCGCCCCCCCCACCUCCUCCGGCUGGCCACAUCUCCACUGCACACCAUGGCGGGGAUGGGGCGGGGGGGGAUCACAAGGGUCUAUGGGGCGGUGUGGGGGUCAGGGCGGCUGUGGGGUCAAUGAGGUUGUUGUGGGGUGAAACACCCCUGAAGAGGCUGAACACCUUGCAGGUGAGUGACCCACACAGUGCCCCACAGUGCCCCAUAGCACCUCCACUCUGCCCUACGGAUCCACAACACUGCCCCACAGCACCCUAUAGCUCCUGCUUGCUAUCCCACAGCACCCCAUGGCUUCUCCACUCUGCCCCAUAUGUCUACAGCAGUGCCACAGAGUACCUCAUAUGUCUUCCACUCUGCCCCAUGGGUGCAGAGUGCUGCCCUACAGCACCCUAUAGCUCCUGUACUCUGCCCCACAGAUCCACAGUGCUGUCCCACAGCACCCUAUAGCUCAUCUGGCCUAUAGACCCACUGUACUACCCUACAAUGCCCCAUGGCUCCUACACUCUGCCCCAUAGACCCACAACACUGCCUCACAACACCCCAUUGCUCCUGCACUCUGCCCCAUGGAUGCCCAGUACUGCCCCACAGCACCAUAUAGGUCCUGUACUCUGCCCCAUAUAUCCACAGGAGUGCCCCCCAGCACCCCAUGGCUCCUGCACUCUGC